RNAcentral lists this ribosomal RNA (1521 nucleotides) under uncultured Planctomycetales bacterium. Its description in RNAcentral is "16S ribosomal RNA". It matches the Rfam family "Bacterial small subunit ribosomal RNA". Lineage: Bacteria; Pseudomonadati; Planctomycetota; Planctomycetia; Planctomycetales. The record is from RNAcentral.
CAUGCAAGUCGAACGAGGAUAUAUCCUUCGGGAUAUAAGCCGAGUGGCACAAGGGUGAGCAAUGCAUAGAUUACCUACCUUUAGGAUAAGGACAACUUUGUGAAAACGGAGCUAAUACUUAAUAAUACAGAAGAAAUAAUUUUCUUUUGUCAAAGGGAGGGCAGCAAUACCUUUCGCCUAGAGAGGGGUUUAUGUCCUAUCAGCUUGUUGGUGGGGUAAUAGCCUACCAAGGCGAAGACGGGUAGCCGGUUUAAGAGGAUGGUCGGCCACACUGGGACUGAGACACUGCCCAGACUUCUACGGAAGGCUGCAGUCGAGAAUCUUUCGCAAUGCCCGAAAGGGUGACGAAGCGACGCCGCGUGGGUGAAGAAGGCCUUCGGGUUGUAAAACCCUGUCAGGAGUUAUGAAAUGUAAGUGCGCUAAUAUCGUGCUUAUUUGACAAAGGCUCCAAAGGAAGCCACGGCUAACUCUGUGCCAGCAGCCGCGGUAAUACAGAGGUGGCGAGCGUUGUUCGGAAUUAUUGGGCGUAAAGAGCACGUAGGUGGGUUUGCAAGUCAGAUGUGAAAGCCUUCUGUUCAACGGGAGAAUUGCAUCUGAAACUGCUAAUCUUGAGUAUAGGAGGGGAGAAUGGAACUUCUAGUGGAGCGGUGAAAUGCGUAGAUAUCAGAAGGAACGCCGGCGGCGAAAGCGAUUCUCUGGCCUAUUACUGACACUCAGUGUGCGAAAGCUAGGGGAGCAAACGGGAUUAGAUACCCCGGUAGUCCUAGCCGUAAACGAUGGGCACUAAGUAGAGGGGAUUACCUAUGUUCUCUCUGCCGUAGCUAACGCAUUAAGUGCCCCGCCUGGGGAGUACGGCCGCAAGGCUAAAACUCAAAAGAAUUGACGGGGGCUCGCACAAGCGGUGGAGCAUGUGGCUUAAUUCGAUGCAACGCGAAAAACCUUACCGGGGCCUGACAUGAUAGAAGUAGGAACCUGAAAGGGGGACGAACGGUAUCCAGUCCGUAGCUAUUACAGGUGUUGCAUGGCUGUCGUCAGCUCGUGUCGUGAGACGUUGGGUUAAGUCCCCUAACGAGCGAAACCCUUGUUUUUAGUUACCAGCGGGUUAUGCCGGGUACUCUAGAAAGACUGCCGUCGUCAAGACGGAGGAAGGUGGGGAUGACGUCAAGUCAUCAUGGCCCUUAUGCCCCGGGCUGCACACGUGCUACAAUGGUCGGUACAGAAGGAAGCGAAGCCGAGAGGUGAAGCGAAUCCUAAAAAGCCGAUCUCAGUUCGGAUUGGAGGCUGAAAUUCGCCUCCAUGAAGUUGGAAUCGCUAGUAAUCGCGGAUCAGCAAUGUCGCGGUGAAUAUGUUCCCGAGCCUUGUACACACCGCCCGUCAGGCCACCCAAGCAGGAUACACCCGAAAACAUUAUAUCUAACCAGGGCAACUUGGAGGAAAAUGUUGAAGGAGUGUUUUGUGAGGAGGACUAAGUCGUAACAAGGUAGUCGUAGGAGAAACCUGCGGCUGGAUCACCUCCUUUCU